CCUACGGGUGGCAGCAGUGGGGAAUAUUGGGCAAUGGGCGCAAGCCUGACCCAGCAACGCCGCGUGAAGGAAGAAGGCCCUCGGGUUGUAAACUUCUUUUAUCAGGGACGAAACAAAUGACGGUACAUGAUGAAUAAGCCACGGCUAACUACGUGCCAGCCGCCGCGGUAAUACGGAGGUGGCAAGCGUUAUCCGGAUUUACUGGGUGUAAAGGGCGUGUCGGCGGGCGAGCAAGUCAGACGUGAAAUUCAAGGGCUCAACCCUGGAACUGCGUUUGAACCUGUUAUUCUUGAGUGAUGGAGAGGCAGGCGGAAUGCCGGGUGUAGCGGUGAAAUGCGUAGAUAUACGGAGGAACACCAGUGGCGAAGGCGGCCUGCUGGACAUUAACUGACGCUGAGGCGCGAAAGCGUGGGGAGCAAACAGGAUUAGAUACCCUUGUAGUC
This 443-nucleotide ribosomal RNA is filed under the name uncultured bacterium. Its description in RNAcentral is "partial 16S ribosomal RNA". It matches the Rfam family "Bacterial small subunit ribosomal RNA", at positions 338 to 795 of the family's 1533-position model. The record is from RNAcentral.